RNAcentral lists this ribosomal RNA (373 nucleotides) under uncultured organism. RNAcentral describes it as "partial 16S ribosomal RNA". It matches the Rfam family "Bacterial small subunit ribosomal RNA", at positions 527 to 896 of the family's 1533-position model. The record is from RNAcentral.
GUAGGUGGCAAGCGUUCGUCCGGAAUUAUUGGGCGUAAAGCGCGCGCAGGCGGUUCUUUAAGUCUGAUCGUGAAAGCCCACGGCUCAACCGUGGAGGGUCAUUGGAAACUGGAGAACUUGAGUACAGAAGACGGAGAGCGGAAUUCCACGUGUAGCGGUGAAAUGCGUAGAGAUGUGGAGGAACACCAGUGGCGAAGGCGGCUUUCUGGUCUGUAACUGACGCUGAGGCGCGAAAGCGUGGGGGAGCAAACAGGAUUAGAUACCUGGUAGUCCACGCCGUAAACGAUGAGUGCUAAGUGUUAGGGGGUUUCCGCCCCUUAGUGCUGCAGCUAACGCAUUAAGCACUCCGCCUGGGAGUACGGCCGCAAGGCUG